RNAcentral lists this ribosomal RNA (460 nucleotides) under uncultured bacterium. Its description in RNAcentral is "partial 16S ribosomal RNA". It matches the Rfam family "Bacterial small subunit ribosomal RNA", at positions 338 to 795 of the family's 1533-position model. The record is from RNAcentral.
CCUACGGGAGGCAGCCGUGAGGAAUUUUGGUCAAUGGGCGCGAGCCUGAACCAGCCAAUUAGCGUGACGGAUGAAUGCCCUACGGGUUGUAAACUUCUUUUAUUACGGAAUAAAGCGCGGCACGUGUGCCCUUUUGUAUAUACUUUAUGAAUCAGGGUUGGCUAACUCCGUGCCCGCCGCCGCGGUAAUACGGAGGAUCCCAGCGUUUUGCGGAUUUUUUGGGGUUAAAGGGGGCGGAGGUGGGUGGUUAAGUCAGUUGUGAAAGUUUGCGGCUCAACCGGAAAAGUGCAAUUGAUACUGGCAGGCUAGAGAGCAGUUGAGGGAGGCGGAAUGCGUGGUGUAGCGGUGAAAUGCUUAGAGAUCACGAAGAACACCGAUUGCGAAGGCAGCUUACUAAGCUGCCACUGACAUUGAGGCACGAAAGUGUGGGGAGCAAACAGGAUUAGAUACCCUAGUAGUC